UCUAAUGUGGCAGAAUAGUGCAAAGGAUUUAAGAUCCUUAUAUAAAGUCCAUGCUUUUUUUAGAA
Molecule: transfer RNA, 65 nt
Filed under: Sinopyrophorus schimmeli
Lineage: Eukaryota; Metazoa; Arthropoda; Insecta; Coleoptera; Elateridae
Description: Elateridae sp. JWH-2018 tRNA-Leu
Rfam family: tRNA
About the family: Transfer RNA (tRNA) molecules are approximately 80 nucleotides in length. Their secondary structure includes four short double-helical elements and three loops (D, anti-codon, and T loops).
Source: RNAcentral